This 326-nucleotide ribosomal RNA is filed under the name uncultured eukaryote. RNAcentral describes it as "partial 18S ribosomal RNA". It matches the Rfam family "Eukaryotic small subunit ribosomal RNA", at positions 1470 to 1796 of the family's 1831-position model. The record is from RNAcentral.
CCCUUAGAUGUUCUGGGCCGCACGCGCGCUACACUGAAGGGAUCAGCGUGUUUUCCCUUUCCGAGAGGAACGGGUAACCCGCUGAACCCCCUUCGUGGUGGGGAUCGGAGCUUGCAAUUGUUCUCCGUGAACCAGGAAUUCCCAGUAAGCGCAAGUCAUAAGCUUGCGUUGAUUACGUCCCUGCCCUUUGUACACACCGCCCGUCGCUACUACCGAUUGAACGUUUUAGUGAGGUAUUUGGACUGGGCCUUGGGAGGUUUCGGCCUCCCUUGUUGCUCGGAAAGACUCCCAAACUUGAGCGUUUAGAGGAAGUAAAAGUCGUAACA